RNAcentral lists this long non-coding RNA (40124 nucleotides) under Vitis vinifera (wine grape). RNAcentral's name for it is "long non-coding RNA (VVIN_LNC000573)". The record is from RNAcentral. Lineage: Eukaryota; Viridiplantae; Streptophyta; Magnoliopsida; Vitales; Vitaceae.
GCGCUAUACUAAGCCACCCGGUUCUUGCAAAGUAGACCUUCCUGCAUGGAACGAGUGAAGGAAAAUUGGAGAUAGUGAAAUUGGGUAGAUAUUGACCUAGGUCCAACAGCUGUCACAAUUUUAAAACAUGCAUAUAAAUUUAAUAGGAGUUCAUAAAUAUAUAGUAUUAUGAAUUUUUUCUCCUAACUAAUGUGGGAUAUCACACUAAUACUAAAGUUAAAGAGUACUUACGCACGCAUGUAAUCAGGAGCGGCAGAAAGCAAGCGGCCAAAGUAGGAGAAGGCAGAAUAGAUAGUGAUUAGAGCUGAAGUGUCAGAGCUAUUGCCAAGAGACUGUGCAAUCUGCCCUAGGUUGUUACUAUACACCAGCCCUAUCGUUCCCCCGCAGAAGUAAGCAAUGUAGUAUAGCCAAAAAUCCAACCUACGAACAAGCAUACGAGCUCGAUGUUCUUCUCCAAGCAUUACCAACUGAUCUUUUCCCAUCAAUUUCUCACAACAACUUUCACGUUCUACGCUAUUGUAUCGAACAAUUUCAUGAGUAGAUCCAUUGCUCUUGAUAAUAUCAGAAAUUCCAUUCCCAUAGCCACUGCCUGAUCGUGUGAUGAGCUCUUUGUGAAGCUCAAGAUCAUCAGCAUCCACAAGAAUGAAGCCAGAGCCAUCAAGGCGGAAGCUAGAAUUGACGGUUCUCCGAAACCAGUUCUUAGCAUAAACAACACCAGGGAUACAUAUGGGGAGGACAAGAAGAAAAAUGGCCCCAGAAAAGAGGAGACGAGAUGUUGUUGCAUUGGAUGAAAUUGAGCUAAUGAGAAGGAGAUAGACGCCUGUGAGGACAGCCAAGAAAUUCAGUAUGAGGAAUAUAAGGGAGUCGCGGCGAACGGCAUCAGGAGGAAGAGGGUCUAAAGAGGGUUGGCGGAGGAUUGGGGGAAGGGCAACAAUGGAAGUGAGAAGAGGAAUUACGGCAUUCAGAAGAAGAUACAGUGAAUCUGAAGAAGGGUUAAUGGCAUCGGCAGCAAGGGCAUAUAGUGCUGCGCUUACGCCAUUGAAGCUGACGGUGAGAGAGAUUGCAAGAGGGCGAUUUGCAGGGAAAUUCUGAGUACAAAGAACAAAGCACACUGUGUUGAACCAACAGAUGCUGCAGCCAGCUAAUAAACAUAGAAGAAACACCUGCCAUACAGCAUAUAAGAAACAAUUUUCAGUUAGGAAAGGCCAUAUAUAACAAGGGGUUCAUUCAUAAAUUGGAGCUAAUAGAAACAAUUCAUGAAAUCAUACUGAAAAGAUGGAAAAUCGGAAACUUCAAAGGAAACUAUAUAUAUAUAAAAGAUACUAAACUGUUAGUCUUCCGUUGCCUAAUAGUUUAAGCUUUUAGAUUAAAUUAAUAGCUUUGCAUGUUACUCUGAUCAACUAGAUGUCCCGAUUUCAAGUUUUUCUGACUAAUUCAUUCCCUCAUCUGUUUAUUCACACUCCAUGCCUUCUAGAUCAAAUAGGUAGCUCAACAUAAACCAAUCAAACUUGGAAGAGAUGAAGCUUUCAACAUCCAAAUAUACAUGGAUCCAUGCCAUAUAAACUCAAAAGUAAGAACUAUUAGUUGGUCAAUGAUAAACUUACUUAAGAAAACUCAAAUCAAAUGUAUAUAUGAAGGCUAGCUAGCUAACUAAAUGGGAUCUAUUGAUAGGAUUAUAAUCAAAUGGACUUGGACUUUAAAGGCAAGAUCGAUAUCCAUCGGCACCAUAUGACCCAAACCUUGCAUGCAUGGAUUCAAAAACCUCUCUUCUUCAACAUCCUAUGUAUGAGCAUAUGUGCACAUAGGUAACAAAGUAUCAACACAUACUAUUCCUCACAAUAUUCCCAAAUGCAAGAAAGGGACAAAGCUUUGCUGCAAAUCAACAAACAGUUGAUCCACUGAUUAAUUUUACCCGCUUCCUCUCCUCACAUGCUUAACUGGCAAAGGAUGAUGCACUUACUAAUCUACAAUAUGGAGUCCUCACUUGCUGCCACACAUAAAGAUAUAUGGGUGUUGAGUGUCUUGGUAGUUCAAGCAUUUUCUCCAACAACCAUGUGCUUGGGUUGUUGAAGCCUUUCUCCAGCUACCACCUCUUCCUUUAAUUUUUUUAUUUUAUUUUAUUUACAAUGAAAGCAAUAAUGAAAGUUUGUCUAGCUUUGGAACAUCAAAUUUGGUUUCAAGCUUACUUUAUUCCUUUUUUUAAAAAUAAUAAUAAUAAUUAAUUUAUCUUUUUAAAAGUCCUCAUUUUUAAAUGUAAUCUUUCCUCAUGUAAUGUUCUUCUAGUUAUCUCUCAAGAAUAAAAUAUUUAUCAUGUCAUGUCAUAUUAUGCCAAACAAUCAAUAUGAUCUGUAAAGUAACUUACUUAGCUAAGACUUGAAUAAUUUUCAAUUUUUUUGUCCAUAUGUAAAAUAAUAUUUAAUAUGUACAACAUUAUAUAAUAUUUGAAAUUAUUUUAAAGUGUGAAUUAGAGGAAGCAAAAGAUUAGGCCAAUUGAGACAACGGAUCAAACUAGAACCAAAUAAAUUAAGCAACAAUAACAAAACACUGUCCUAGGAUGUUUAAUGAUACUAAAUUGGUGUUCCAUUUACCGAGCCUCCUGAAUUUGAAACAUUAAAUAUUAAAUGUAUGAUUUUAUUACUACAAAAUUUAAUUAUUUAGACUAUUUAUAUAUGAUAAUCUUUUAAUCCUAGGGAAAACCCUUAAUUUCCGACCACAUAUAAAUCAUCCCUAAUGACUCUAAUAAUUAAAAUAUGAUCCUAAGAUUUCAUAUCUUAACUUGAGAUAACAUAUAGUUAUUCUUGAGGAACUACUUAUGUGAAUUCUUGUUCAUAUCAUGUUGAUAUUUAAGAAUAAAGUUUAUCAUAAGGGGUAAAAUGAGAGUAGAAAAUAUAAAGUUAAUGGUAAAAUGUUUGAAUUCAUGGAAAGCUUCGAAAAAAACUGACGGGAAGUAGGUGAAGUGUGGAGUAGUAGGUGAACUGAGGGGUAGGUGGUGAAUAUGUUUUGAGGUUCCAAUUUUGACAAUGCGUUGAUUUGGAGUACUUCUUUAAGAAGAGGUUUGGAGGGUGAGAAUCAAAUAAUAAAAAUAAAAAUAAUAUUUUUGUAAUUGAAGGGAUGACAAAAAAAGAUACAACAUAAAAAUUAAAAAAUAAAAUAAAAUAAAAUAACUCCAAAAUUUGUAUGCUUCUAUGAGAGGAGAAGAAUAAAUACUACACAUGAAUACAUAAAGCAUUCGCAUAUUCUAGAUGCAAAACCCACCCUUCAAGUUAGGAAUGUUAUCAUGUGAUAUUAGAGGUUAGGACUUUUGAAUUUGGUGAAAAAAACUCAAUUAUAUAUGAAUCCAAUGUUGUGAGUGUGUUAAGUGUUGGAGUUGGGUUUGGGUGUCCAAAUGAGCUUACCUGACCCAAUUCAACAAAAUGAAAAUUGAUGGAAGAGUUGUGAUAUGUAUCUCUUUUGAAUUUUAUAAGUUCUUCUAUUGUUUAAUAAUCAAGUAGAAGAGUGAUAUGUAUGGAUGAGUAUGGUAUCACUCGACCAUUUCUUUUGAAUAUAUGGUCAUUGGAGAUUGAGAUUAUCAUGAAAUAGAAAUCACCAAAGCAUAUCUUCCCCAAUAUUGGUCUUCAAAAUAGAGAACUCCACGACAAAAUUCAUAAUUCAUCUGAAAAAAAGAAGAGGUCCAAAACAACUCAUCCAUGGCAACACUAGUUGGAUUGAUAGCUACUCUUAAAGAAGUACUGGUGAAGAGCAAUUCAUCUAAAUAUAAUUAGACCCUACUGCAAAAACACAACGAAAACAACGAGAGGGGGUGUGGCAUCAUUGAUGAAAUUGAAACCGACCAUACAACUAGAUAGAAACAAUGGAAAGAAAGGGAAUCCUAAAGCCAGAUAUGAGAACAAGGAGGGAGAGAUAGAGAUAUUAAGAAAAAAAAAAUGGAGGGGGCGGAAGAGCCAUCCUCAAAGCCAGAUAUAAAGAAAUGGAAGAGAGAGAGAGAGAGAGAGAGAGAGAGAGAGAGAGAGAGAGAGAGUGCAUCUACAACUACCCAUCAACAGCUAGCACUAUUCAUUGAUGAACCCAACCCAAACGAAAAAGAGAAAAAACUGCAGAUACUAGAACAAUCAAUUGAAUUGGGACCAUCCUCAAAAACCCAAUAAAAGAAAGAAGAAAGACAGAGAGAGGAACAACAUACCAGAAAGUAUGGCAAGGUAAUGAUACUCCUGAUAACAAGCCACUGAAGGCCAUACGCAAAAAACCCCAUGAAAGCAGACAUGAACAUCACAACCCACAAUGGCAUAUACAUCAAAGCCAGCCCAGAAGACCACCCAAACAGUUUCCCUAAAUCCGACGCCGUCGCCAAAUAGUUCAACUGCACCUGAGACACCCCCAACACCGUCUUCAGCUCCGACGAGUAGGCCGAGAAAUCAAAAUUCGUCCCUGUAAACGCCUGAAUCCAUAUGGUUGCCACAAGGAUCAUCCAUUUUCUGGACUGUCCAGCCAUGAUAACGAUUAUGACAGCCCAAUACUUCCCCUUUGCCCAAAUUUAAUCUCUCUUGUUCAAUUUUCCCCUCUCAACUCCCUCUCUACGUGGCCUUAUUUAUAAACAUUCAUAUACAAAUUCAGUAUUCAUUUUAUUAAUUUGUAGUUAAAAAGGAAAGAUUUUCUUUCUUGUCCUUUUUAAGGUCUGUUAUUUCUUUUCCCUCUCUUUUCUCUAUAUUUGCGAAGCUAUCCCUCUUCAAUGGGAUGCCAAUGGCAGCCCUUCACGUGGCAUCAUGUGAAGCCUAGGUCAUCUAGUGUCCACAGACAAUUAUUUCCUUUUAAUAUCUGAAAUUGACGGUUGUUGGAUUCCCAGAAUCAUCCUCCAUCACAUGUUAAUGAACCAAUUUUGCUAUAAUUAUUUUUUAUUUUAAUGUUAAAUUUUUUUAAAAGUGUCUUUCGAUAAUAGGUCUUUUGUUGUCUUGUAAAUAAAUUGCUUUGAAGAGAGAUUUUACAAUGACGAAAAAAAAAAUGUUUCAUGAUGUUUGUUUUUUUCUAAAUAAUGGUUCCAAACAAACCAUCUAAGAGAGAGAGAGAGAGAGAGAGGAGAGAGAGAGAGAUAUAUAUAUAUAUAUAUUAGGAUAUGAUAAGAAUUGUGGCCACAAAUGAUUCACGUGGACCUUUACGUGUAUCAUUCAAUUUAUCUUUGAAUUCCACUUCUAUUCAAGUUGAUUUUAUUUUUAUUUUUUGUUGGAAAAAAAAUAGCUUUUUCAAGAUUAAUAUAAUUGUUUGAAUGGCUGAAAAAAAUAAAAGUAAAAACUUUGUAUUUAGAAAUCAAUUACUUUUUAUUUAAAUAUUUUUUUGAUUUAUAUAAGAAAUUAUUUCCUAUUUAAUAAAAUUGGUAUAAUAUUAUUUUUUUGAAAAUUAUAAUUUUAACUUUAAUUUCAAAUAACUUUAAAACGAACAAAAUUAUUUUAAACACGACUUCAAUGAAAAGCGAAAAAUAAAACCAUCUCAAAUAUGAAUUCAAUGACAUUUUAUGACAAAUUUUCAUCCAACGUACAAAAUUUAACUUUGAAAAGUCAUUUUGACCUAUUUUCAAACCAAAAAUUAAAUACUUGGAAAGUUAGUGAAAACAAAUAAAGUAAAGGUGGAGAACACACUAAAUUUCAAUAUGUUUUUAUUUUUAUAUUUUUCCUUUUUCAACUUGUUUAAACCCUUCUUUUGACUUGUAUAAAAUGUUAUAACGUCAUUCAUCAAAAAGUCUCAUGAUAUUUUCGUAGUAAUUAAUACUAGUUUUAUACCAAGACCCCACCAAAAUUGUUUGUUAAUUAGUAUAUAUGUAACUUUCUUUGUCUACUUAACAAAAUGUUGCAAAUCUAACAAGGUUUGGGUAUGUAAUAGAUGGGAAAGGAAGUUCUAAUUCAAUGUACAAGAAGCUGUCAAAUUAGUGACUUGAUCAUAUCCAACACCGUGACCAAAUGUUAACCAAAAUAUUAUAUAAAUUGAGAGUCACAACCAAUUGAAUUUUACAUUAGCCUAACCCCAAGUCAUGGUCCUCUAUGACCAGCCCAUGUUGGGGUUAUCAUAUUCUUUCUUUCUUCCUUUACCUUUUUCUUUUUAAUUUCUUUUGCACGAAAGAGAAUAAAAAGGCCUCUAGAUGUGGCCUCAAUUGACUAUGGAAUUUAAAAAUAAAAAAUAAAAAUAAUCUGACAGUGACUUGGUGGCAACUUUUGUCGCACAAGUUGUUCCUUUCUUCUUUUUUUUUUUUUUCUCUUUUUGCUGUCAACAUAUGGGUCCAACUUGGUCCCAUUCAUGCCCUUCUCAAAGAAUUUAAAUUACCUUCAAUUGUAGAUGGCAGCCAUCCAGCAAGUGUCCACAAAUUUGGUAUAUGAAGUAGUGGUUGAGUCGUUGAGUGUGAGGCAGUGUUUGUUUUUUUACGUCAUAUAAUAUUUAAUAGUAUUAAAUUAUUUAUUUUUAUAAUAUUUUAUUUUUAUUAAAUAUUAAAAAAUAAAAAAAAUCAAUAUAUUAUUUUUUUCAUUUAAAACAAUUAAAAUAUUUUAAUUUUUUUUAUUUAAUAACAAUUUUAUAAUAAGUCAUAAUAAAGUGAAAAAAACAAACAAUUUAAAGUCCAUAAAUAAAAUAUUUUUAACAAAAAGCUAAAGAAAUAAAUACCUUUACGCCUAAAAAAUUACUAACAUUUUUGUAUUAGCUUCAUCGAGCAUAUUCUCAUGGGCAGAUUCACAUGUGAAUAAUUGAAUUAUGGACAGGACAAAAGAUAACCACAUGAUAAUAUAUAAUUGGAGUGUGGAGCAAAUUAUUAAAUUAUAUCACAUGUUAAUGAUUGAAGCAUGACGCACUAGUAACUAAAUAAAUCAGUGACAGCCCGUCUGAAUAUAGGGGCUGAAUUUAUUUUAGCUUUGAUCUACGUUUAGUACGUGCAUGCAUGUGAUCGAUUAAUGAGCCGUACAUGUUUUUAUUCAAAGCAUUUUGUUAUUUACGCAUCUUCAAAUACGAAAAAGUUUUAUUCUGAAUUUUAUUUUUUUGUUUAAUUUGGGCUUUGAUUUUAAUUAUUGAAGGUGACCCCAAAUGAUUUUUCAACCAAGAAAUCGUUAACAGGUGGUGAAUUGUUAGCAUUUUGACUCAAGCAUGCGCCAGCAAAGCCUCAUGGGUACCACCUUGGCUUCAUGAAUGGCAUAUGAUUAAAGGCAAGAUGAACAUAGAGGCGAAGUGGAGACUUGUGUAAGGCUUUUAGAUGGCUCAAAGAUGAGCACGUACACAUGUUGGGAGGCACGAGCAAGGCAUGCCUCACGUUUCUACCAUGCAUGGGCAGCAAAUGGCAUGAGCCACACCUGACCAAGGGCAUACAUGAGGCAUUUAAGUUAUGGUGUGUGGUACAUGAAGAGAAUUGAAAUAGCAUAUGAUCACAUAUUAAUAUUUAAAUAUGCAUUUAAUGGCAAAAAAUGAACCGAUUACCUUGGUUUAUGUCAUGGAAGCCAUUUUUGGGGUUUUUUUGUUCGUUUGGUGUUUAUUCUUGGUUUUCAAGCCCUAUUAAGGUUGAAGACUUGUAGAGAAUAUUGUUUGAAGCAAAACUCAUCCUUUUUAUGGUUUUUUGGAGCUCAUUUGAUGAGAUUCUAUGGGACAUUGAUUUAUGAUUAUGUAUAUCUUGUGAUGCUUGAUUAUGUAGUCAAAGUGAGAGAAUUGUUGGAAUUUUUAUGUGUGGACUUACAUAAUCAAUUUGAUAAUAUCAUAAAACAGUGUUAAUUUAAUUUUUGCAUUGUGGUUCAUAAUAGGACUGAAUAUAUAUUGUUGCUUGAUUUUUUAUGGGCUCACCCUAAUUCACUUGACUGGCCCAUUACGUCAAGUGGUCCAAAUAAUGUGUAUAAUGUGUAAUAUAUAUAUAUAUAUGAAUUUAUUUACAUAUAUAUAUAUAUAUAUAUAUAUAUAUAUAGAUACAUGUGCAUUUGGAUAUAAGUCUCCUUUCUUCUUUUGGAGAGCACUGCACGCACACACACUUACACUUGAACUGAAUUUUUUGGGAGGAAAUGGAAGAGCUCAUUGAUCCCUAAUUCUCAUACCAUCACGCACCUAGAGCAGCUUCUUGGAUAUCAGAGGAGGAAGAAAUGGCUUUCCAUAACCAGAAAAAGAGAAACCAAAAAAUAACCCAAAAUUGCAGCUCAAAUGUCAUUCAGGCUUGCUCUGAUACCAAUUGAAGAGAAUUGAAAUAGCAUAGGAUCACAUGUUAACAUUUAAGCAUGCAUUUAAUGGCAAAAAAAUGAACCGGUUACCUUGGUUUUCUGGUUAUGGAAAGUCAUUUCUUCCUCCUCUGAUAUCCAAGAAGCUGCUCCAGGUGCGUGAUGGCACGAGAAUUAGGGAUCAAUGAGCUCCUCCCUUUCCUCCUCAAAAAUCCAGUUCAAGUGUAAGUGUGUGUGUGUGCAGUGCUCUCCAAGAGAAGAAAUGAGACUUAUAUCCAAAUGCACAUAUAUCUCUACAAAUAUAUAUAUAUAUAUAUAUAUUACACAUUACACACAUUAUUUGGACCACUUGACUUAAUGGGCACAUCAAGUGAAUUAGGGUGAGCCCAUAAAAAAAUUAAGCAACAAUAUGUGUCCAAUCCCAUUAUGGACCACAAUGCAAAAAUUAAAUGGCAAAAAAUGAAUCGGUUACCUUGGUUUAUGCCAUGGAAAAUCAUUUCUUCUUCCUCUGAUAUCCAAUAAGCUACUUCAGCUGCGUGAUGGUACGAGAAUUGGGGAUCAAUGAGCUCUUCCCUUUCCUCCCCAAAAAUUCAGUCCAAGUGUAAGUGUGUGUGCGUGCAGUGCUCUCCAAGAGAAGAAAGGAGACUUAUAUCAAAAUGCAUAUAUAUAUAUAUUAUACAUUACACACAUUAUUUGGACCACUUGCCUUAAUGGGCCAGUCAAGUGAAUUAGGGUGAGCCCAUAAAAAAAAUCAAGCAACAAUAUGUGUCCAGUCCCAUUAUGGACCACAAUGCAAAAAUUAAAUGGCAAAAAAUAAACCGGUUACCUUGGUUUAUGCCAUGGAAAGUCAUUUCUUCCUCCUCUGAUAUCCAAGAAGCUGCUUCAGGUGCGUGAUGGUACGAGAAUUAGGGAUCAAUGAGCUCUUCCAUUUCUUCCCCAAAAAUUCAGUCCAAGUGUAAGUGUGUGUGCGUGCAGUGCUCUCUAAGAGAAGAAAGGAGACUUAUAUCCAUAUGCAUAUAUAUAUAUAUAUAUAUAUAUAUAUAUAUAUAUAUAUGUAAAUAAAUUCAUAUAUAUAUUACACAUUACAUACAUUAUUUGGACCACUUGACUUAAUGGGUCAGUCAAGUGAAUUAGGGUGAGCUCAUAAAAAAAUCAAGCAACAAUAUGUGUUCAGUCCCAUUAUGGACUACAAUGCAAAAAUUAAAUGGCAAAAAAUGAACCGAUUACCUUGGUUUAUGCCAUGAAAAGUCAUUUCUUCCUUCUCUGAUAUUCAAGAAGCUGUUCCAGGUGCAUGAUGGUACAAGAAUUAGGGAUCAAUGAGCUCUUCCCUUUCCUCCCCAAAAAUUCAAUCCAAGUGUAAGUGUGUGUGCGUGCAGUGCUCUCUAAGAGAAGAAAGGAGAUUUAUAUCCAUAUGCACACACACAUAUAUAUAUAUAUAUAUGUAAAUAAAUUCAUAUAUAUAUUACACAUUACACACAUUAUUUGGACCACUUGACUUAAUGAGCCAGUCAAGUGAAUUAGAAUGAGCCCAUAAAAAAAUCAAGCAACAAUAUGUGUCCAAUCCCAUUAUGGACUAUAAUGCAAAAAUUAAAUGGCAAAAAAUGAACCGAUUACCUUGGUUUAAGCCAUGGAAAGUCAUUUCUUCCUUCUCUGAUAUCCAAGAAGUUGUUCCAGGUGCAUGAUGGUACGAGAAUUAGGGAUCAAUGAGCUCUUCCCUUUCCUCCCCAAAAAUUCAGUCCAAGUGUAAGUGUGUGUGCGUGCAGUGCUCUCUAAGAGAAGAAAUGAGGCUUAUAUCCAUAUGCACAUAUAUAUAUAUAUUACACAUUACACACAUUAUUUGGACCACUUGACUUAAUGAGUCAAUCAAGUGAAUUAGGGUGAACCCAUAAAAAAUUCAAGCAACAAUAUGUGUCCAGUCCCAUUAUGAAUCACAAUGCAAAAAUUAAAUUGUAAAAAAUGAACCAGUUACCUUGGUUUAUGCCAUGGAAAGUCAUUUCUUCCUCCUCUGAUUUCCAAAAAGCUGCUCCAGGUGCGUGAUGGAACGAGAAUUAGGGAUCAAUGAGCUCUUCCCUUUCCUCCCCAAAAAUUCAAUCGAAGUGUAAGUGUGUGUGCGUGCAAUGCUCUCUAAGAGAAGAAAGGAGACUUAUAUCCAAAUGCACACACACACACACACACACACACACACACAUAUAUAUAUAUGUAAAAUAAAUUCAUAUAUAUAUUACACAUUACAUACAUUAUUUGGACCACUUGACUUAAUAGAUCAGUCAAAUGAAUUAGGGUAAGCGCAUAAAAAAAUCAAGCAACAGUAUGUGUCCAGUCCCAUUAUGGACCACAAUGCAAAAAUUAAAUGGCAAAAAAUGAAUCGGUUACCUUGGUUUAUGCUAUGGAAAGUCAUUUCUUCCUCCUCUGGUAUCCAAGAAGCUGCUCCAGGUGCGUAAUGGUACGAGAAUUAGGGAUCAAUGAGCUCUUCCCUUUCCUCUCUAAAAAUUCAGUCCAAUUGUAAGUGUGUGCGCGUGCAUUGCUCUCCAAAAGAAUAAAGGAGACUUAUAUCAAAAUGCAUAUAUAUAUAUAUAUAUAUAUAUAUUACACAUUACACACAUUAUUUGGACCACUUGGUUUAAUGGGUCAGUCAAGUGAAUUAGGGUGAGCUCAUAAAAAAAUCAAGCAACAAUGUGUCCAGUCCCAUUAUGGACCACAAUGCAAAAAUUAAAUGGCAAAAAAUGAACCGGUUACCUUGGUUUAUGCCAUGGAAAGUCAUUUCUUCCUCCUCUAAUAUCCAAAAAGCUGCUUCAAGUGCGUGAUGGUUCGAGAAUUAGGGAUCAAUGAGCUCUUCCCUUUCCUCCCCAAAAAUUUAGUCCAAGUGUAAGUGUGUGUUAUAUCCAAAUGCACAUAUCUCUCUCUCUCUGUUUAUAUAUAUAUAUAUAUAUAUAUAUGUAAAUAAAUUUUUAUAUAUAUUACACAUUACACUCAUUAUUUGGACCACUUGACUUAAUGGGUCAAUCAAGUGAAUUAGGGUGAGCUCAUAUAAAAAUCAAGCAAUAAUAUGUGUUCAGUCCCAUAAUGGACCACAAUACAAAAAUUAAAUGUCAAAAAAUGAACUGGUUACCUUGGUUUAUUCCAUAGAAAACCAUUUCUUCCUCCUCUGAUAUCCAAGAAGCUGCUCCAAGUGCGUGAUGGUAUGAGAAUUAGGGAUCAAUGAGCUCUUCUCUUUCCUCCCCAAAAAUUCAGUCCAAGUGUAAGUGUGUGUGCGUGCAGUGCUCUCCAAGAGAAGAAAUGAGACUUAUAUCCAAAUGCACAUAUAUAUAUAUAUAUUACACACAUUAUUUGGACCACUUGACUUAAUGGGUCAGUCAAGUGAAUUAGGGUAAGCGUAUAAAAAAAUCAAGCAACAAUAUGUGUAAAAUCCCAUUAUGAACCACAAUGCAAAAAUUAAAUUAACACUGAUUUAUGAUAUUAUCAAAUUGAUUUUGUAAGUCCACACAUAAAAAUUCUAACAGUACAACCCAUGGGUAUAAUGACACAAGGUGUGGCCACGAAACAAACAUGAGUCGAUUGCCUUAACUUAGACUUGAUUCAAAUGUGGGAAUAUAUAUGAUCAUGGUUGCCACACCCAAGGGCUAACAUGGAGCAACAUCAAUCGACCAUAAGCCAAGGUAGGGUAUGGCACCAAGGUGCAUUGAUAGGUAUGUAGGCCGAGAGGGGGCAUGACACACAUACGAGUUGUUUAGAGACGCAUGCAAUAGGUUGAUUCGAUGCAAGGCCUAAUUGGAUCAAAUGUAUGAGCUAAUUUAAGAGGAACGUCUAAGUAGGACAUGCUAGGUAUGGACUUGCAUUUUACGUAUGAGUCUCAAUCACUCAAUGGUGAAACUCAUUUUUAUUGUAAAAAAAUUGAAGUCAUCACUUAUUUUAUUUAUUUUUUAAAAAGAAAAAAGAAUGAAAAUGAAAAUCUUAUGUAACUCAUUGUUUAUACAAAGGUAAUCUAUGAAUCGAGAAUGAAUUCAAGGGUGAGGUUACCUAUCGAGAAGGUAUGAAAAUAAACCGUAGUAUUUCUCUAAGCCCAUAUGUCUAUGAUCUCUAAUAUAUAAGUGGAGAAACGCUAGCGUUAAUCAAUUAAUUAAUGGAUAUAUAUUAUGAUGAGUUGUUUAGGAAAAAAAAUAUCUUGAAUUGUACUAUUUUAUUUAUAUAAAUGAAAUCCAAUUAACAUUUAAUAAUAAUGAUAAAAUUUUGACUUACACCUUCUUAAUGUACAAUAAUAAAAAAUUUUGAUUUAAUGUCUAUAUUUACAAGGUUCAUAAACACAUCUUUUUGCAUCAUUAAUUUUAAUACAUAUGACAAUAGUAAUAAAUUUGAUUCAAAUUAUUUUCAAACUUAAUUUAUGAGAAUAAAUUAUUUUCCUUAACAAUUUCAUCAUUAAAAAAAAUUAAUAUAUCCAAAAUCUAAUCUUAAUAUUUAUGAACAUACAAAAUUAAUUCACAAAACAAUUUCUUGAUUAAUUUGGACAUAAAAAAUUUUGAUUCAAUUCACAUGGGUGUAUAAAAACGAUUUUUCCGAUUAUUAGUAUAAGUACAAUAAAAAAAUGAUUUAAUUAGCAUUAAUGACUCAAUUUACAUAUGAAAUUAAUGUAAAAAAUGGUUUCCUUUAUUUAAUUGAUGUCAAUAGGUAAAAAUAACCCAAUUCAUAUAAUCACACAAAAUUAUUUAAAAGAAACAAUUUUUUAUUUUAUUAAUAUAAAUAUAACAAGUAACCCCAAUUCAUACAACCUUACAAAAUCUAUUUAAAAAUUAUUCUUGGUUUUAUUAAUGUUAAAAUAAAUAAAAAUUGUUCUUUGAUUUUAUUGACAAUUAUUAGAAGGAAUGAUUUCAAUUUACAUAAUCUUAUAAGAUUAAUUAAAAAAAGGAUUUUGCAAGUUUUAUUCAACAAAUAAAAAUAUAUAUUAAUAAAAUAAAAUAACAAUAUUUGAAUUUGAAAUUUAUAAUAUAAGAAUAAUUGUUUGAAUUAUAUAUACCCAAUUUCAUUUAUAUAAACCAAACCAUGCAACUCAUCACAUUUUUCAAUUUAAUUACAAUGUAGCAAUAAAGAUAAAAAUAAAAAUAAAUAAAUAAAUAAAUAGAAUGAAGAAGCCCCACUACCCUUUUUUUUUCUCUUUUCUCUUUGUUGUGGUAUUGCUAUAAGAAAAGAUCCCUUUCAUCCUCUCUUUUCUCAUAGGAACUUUGACUUUUUUUUUUUUUUUUUUGUCAAGAGUAAUUGUGACAUGAUAGGAAUCUUCACUACAUAUAUAUAUAUAUAUAUUUAAUUUUUCCAUUUUUUUUUUCAUUGUUAUUGACCAUGGGACCUAGAUCAUUGUGACUUGAGAAAUGAUUUUGAAACUCUAAGGAACCUCUUGGCCGUGUUUGGAACCAAACUCAAGAAUAAGAACAAAAAUAUAUGAAAACAUGUUUGAUAAUGAUUAUUCUCAAAAUGGAUUAUUGGGAAUUGUUCUAAAAAUAAGUUUCUUCUAAGAAUAUAUAUAUAUAUAUAUAUAUAUAUAUUUAGGGAUUAUUUAAAAAAAAAUUGUAUAAAUGAAAAAAUGAUUGAAAAUAAACAUUAUACAAAAAAGUUACUUCUAAGAAAUAUUUGAAAACACAAAAAAAAAUUGAGAACUUUCCAAGUUCUCAAAUAUAUUUUUGCUUUAAAAAAUAUCAUGAUCCUAUUUAAGAAGUGUUCUUAAAAAUAGUUUUUGAAAAUUGUUCUUUUUUAAAGAGCAAAAGUCUAUUUAAAAACCUAAAAUGUUCUUAAUAUGUUUUUAAAUGUGUUUUAAAAAUAACAUUUAUAUAAAGUACUUUAUUUUUAAUCAUUUUUCGUAUUUGUAUAAUUAUUUUUAAAAACAAUACUAAAAAAGCAAGUGAAAAUAACUAAAAUAUAUAUAUAUAUAUAUAUAUAUAUAUAUAUAUAUAUAUAUAUAUAUAUAUAUAUAGCUUGGCUUCAAUUUAGAUCCUAAUUGAAUUCAAGCCAAAUUUUUCAAGUACUGUUUGUUCAAAGAUUUUAGAUAUAUUUCAAGUUUACACAGUAUAUGGUCUUGAAUUAUUAUUGGGUAAUUUGGGCUUUAGUGAAAUUGUCACCAAUUGUUUUCUUCAAACAAUCAAUUGUAGUCGUGAGACAUAUAUUCAUCAUAAGAUUAAUUUAGGAAGUAUUUGGUAAAACUUAAUAAUUAUUAUUUAAUAACUUAAAUUGACUUUAUAUUAAAUUAUACUUAAAUUAUUGAUUUAAAACUUAUUACUUAAUUUUAUUUUAAGUAAUAAGGUUGUUUGAUAAAAUUAAUUUAAAAUUUAUUCUAAAUCAUCAAAUUAACAUAUUUACCAUCAUAAAUUAUAAUUAAAGCAAAGGACAUCGAAUAAUAAUGGUGAUUGUGGAGUAAUAAAAGAAAUCAUGGAAGUAAUUAAGACAAAUGAUGGUAAAAAAGAAAAUGAAAAUAUGGUCUUAAGAAUAAGUUAAUUAUUUUUACUUAUUAUUUAAAGUCGUUUUUUAUUUUAAGUCGUACCAUUAAGUUGUUUUACCAAACAUACUUAAUUUAAUGACUUAAAUUAUAUUAUUAAGUUAUUAAAUUGAUUUAUCAAAAACUCACUUAGAUUAUUAUUAUUAUUAUUAAGAUCUAGACUUAUUUUGAGAAUUUAAGGAGCCUUGUUUUCCUCAGGGUAUUGCCAUGGCACCUAAAUGAUUGUAACUUGAGAAAUUACUUUGAUAUUCAUAGGAACAUUGACUUUUUUUUUUCUUUUUCCUUUUUUCCCUUUUUUUUCCUUGUUAUUGACCAUGGGACUUAGAUGAUUUUGAAUUGAGAAAUGAUUUUGAAACUCAAAAGAAUCUUUUGGCUUUGCUUGGGAACUAGUCUCAAGCAUAACUUCAUAUUUUUAAGAAAAAAAAAAACAUGUAUGGUAAUCAAUUAUUUUUUUUGGGGAAUUGUUUUGAAAUUAAGUUUUUUUUUCUAAGAAGAUAUUUUAGUUGUUUUAUGAAAUUAUUUAAAAAUUAAUUGCACAAAAAUAAAUAAUGAUUGAAAAUAAACAUUAUAAAUAAAAUUUAUUUCAAAGAAAUCUUUGAAAACACAAAAAGCAGACUGAGAACUUUCCAAGUUCUCGAUUAUAUUUUUGUUUUAGAAAAUAUCAUGACCUUAUUCGGGAAGUUUUUUUUAUAAUAAUUUUUAAAAACAAUUCUUGAAAUAUAAAGUGUUAAUCGAAGUUUUAAUUUAAAUAAUGUUAGUUCAAGAACAUAAAGAUAAAUAAUUUACACGAAGUUACAUGUGGUUUUAACAUGAUUCAGUCAAUCAUACCUACAUCUAUGGAUGAGAGAGAAUCAUUUCACAUAAAAAAAUUUAUAGAGAACAAAAACUAAAUAUAACUAUUAGAUUUUCAAAACAUCUUAUGUUUUUUCACUCCUUAUAUCUACACCUUAAACCUCAACCCUCCUCACUCCAUUAGGUGCCUCUCUUUGUUCCUCAUAUGUCUAUCCACCUCAUAUAGCCUUAUUAAUAGAGAUAAUUUUAAUAACUUUCAUUAUUCUAUUUGGAAAUCUAAUAUUACAAUGACAUAUCAAUAUAAGAAAUAUGUUAUAAAAUAAAUAAAAAAAUUCAUACCAAUUAGGAAUUUAAGACACUUCUUAACAAUUUUCACCUUAAAUCAAAUUUCAUUAAGUCAGUCUUCUAUCUUUUCAUGAUACAUAUUUUUGUAUCAAAUCUCAUGAGAGAGCAAUUAACCCUAACUUCAAAUAAAAUUCCUUUCAUCAUCUUUUUGUGUGCUAUAUUCUUUUGGGCUCUUCUAGAAAUCUUCAUUAAUACUAGCUUUUUUGCCAUUAAAAGCCUUAAUGUAAACAUGUUAAUUUUAGAGCACAAAAGCAAAUAAUCCACACAAAUGUACACGAGGUUUUAACAUGGUUUAGUCAACAAUACCUACACCCACAAAUGCAAGAGAAUCAUUCCACUAUAUUAUAAAGAAUAUUACAUAGGACAAAAACCAUGUACAAUUAUUGGAUUUCAAAAACAUUUUAUGUUUCCUUACUCCUUAUAUUUAUACCAUGAACCAUGUGUAUCUAUAUCCUAAACCAUGUGUAUCUAUAUCAUGAACCAUGAGCCUUUUCACCCUAUUGGGUGUCUCCCAUUGUUCAUCACAUCUUUAUUCAUCUUGUAUAUUCUUUAUAGAUUCAUCUCCAUCCGAUAACCUCUUCUCUUUAUGAUCUAAAAUAUUUAUAAAAAUAUUUCUAAUACCUUUUGUUAUCUUAUUAGGAAAUCCAAUAUUACAAUAACAUCAAUAUAGAAAAUAUUCUAUAUAAUAUUCUUUACAAAAAAAAAAAUUAUAUCAAUUAGGAAUUUGAAACAUUUCCUAACACAUAUAACUAUUUAAACUAUUAUCAAAAACUAUUUUUUGAAAUUUAUUUGUGAAAAUAUUCCACAACAACUAGACCCUUGUUUUCCUCGUGUUAUUGGACCUAGAUAGUAACCUUGGCUCUUCUAUUUCCUCUUUAUUGCCCAUGGUAAAAGAUUGUUGUGACUUGAGAGAUAAUUUUGAAAUAACUCAUAGGAACUUCUUUUUUUUUUCUUCUUUCAUUUUUAUUUUUUGUUCUUGUUAUGCUCAUGGGACCUCGAUUAUUGUGACUUGAGAAAUGAUUAAAAAAAACUCUCUUGAAGUGAAAUUUUAAUGAAUUUGAAAAUAAUUGUAUUAAAAAGUCAUAUAUGAAACUCUUGAUGUGUCUAUUUGUAUUAGUGGUUCUAGCAAACAGCUCAACCCUUGAUACAUACUAUAACCCUAAAUGACGAAAAACCAGAGGGAUGAACGAAGCAAAUUCCUCUCAAGUGACUAGCAUAUAUAUUUUAUAUGAAGUAAACGUGUAUGAAAUGGAAACAAACGGAUAUCAUUAUAUAUAUAUAUAUAUAUAUAUAAAGAGAGAGAUUUGGCACAUCAUAUUAUGAUUCAUUAUUGUCUUUUAUAUGAAAGAAAAAUUAUUAAAUUUGGUGAUGAUAAAUAGUCAAUUUAAUUAUUAUCAACUUCUAUACCAUUAUUGUAAUGGCUUAAUUAAUUAUAUAAACGUGUAGAGUUGCAUUGAAUGAUUUGGAGAGAGAGUCCAUACUUCAUAUCAUUUUAAGAUAUGAUUCCUCUGAGAGGGGCCAUACUCAACUCGAUACAUAUCAUUUCAAGAUGUGGUAUCAUCAUACUAGCACGAGGAUAUUAAUUGUGUGAAUCUUUUAUACAUUUAUUUAUCUUUCUUUUUUUUGAAUUGUUUUGGAAUUAAGUUUUUUUUCUAAGAAGAUAUUUUAGUUGUUUAAUGAAAUUAUUUAUAAAAAUAAUUGUACAAAAAUAAAGAAUGGUUGAAAAUAAACAUUAUAAAUAAAAUUUAUUUCAAAGAAAUCUUUGAAAACACAAAAAGCAAAUUGAGAACUUUCCAAGUUCUCGAUUAUAUUUUUGUUUUAGAAAAUAUCAUGACCUUAUUUGGGAAGUUUUUUUUUGUAAUAAUUUUUAAAAACAAUUCUUGAAAUAUGAAGUGUCAAUGGAAGUUUUAAUUUAAACAAUGUCAGUUCAAGAACAUAAAAAUAAAUAAUCUACAUGAAGUUACAUAUGGUUUUAACAUGAUUCGGCCAAUUAUACGUACAUCUAUGGAUGAGAGAGAAUCAUUUCACAUAUAAAAUUUUAUAGAGAACAAAAACUAAAUACAACCAUUGAAUUCUCAAAACAUCUCAUGUUUUCUCACUCUUUAUACCUACACCUUCAACCACGACCCUCCUCACUCCAUCGGGUGUCUCUCUUUGUUCCUCACAUGUCUAUCCACCUCGUAUAGUCUUAUUAAUAGAGAUAUUUUUAAUAACUUUCCUUAUUUUAUUUGGAAAUCUAAUAUUACAAUGACAUAUCAAUAUAAGAAAUAUGUUACACAAAAAAAACAAAACAUACCAAUUAGGAAUUUAAAACACUUCCUAACAAUUUUCACCUUAUAUCAAAUUUCAUUAAACCAGUCUUCCAUCUUUUCAUGAUACAUAUUUUUGUAUCAAAUCUCCAUGAGAGAGCAAUUAACCCUAUCUUCAAAUAAAAUUCCUUUUAUCAUCUUUUUGUGUGCUAUAUUCUUUUAGGCUCUUCUAGAAAUUUUCAUUAAUACUAGUUUUUUUGGCAUUAAAAGCUUUAAUGUAAACAUGUUAAUUUUAGAGCACAAAAUCAAAUAAUCCAUAUAAAUGUACACGAGAUUUUAACAUGGCUUAGCCAACAAUACCUACACCCACAAAUGCAAGAGAAUUACUGGAUUUCCAAAACAUCUUAUGUUUCAUCACUCCUUACAUUUAUAUCAUGAACCAUGUGUAUCUAUAUCCUAACCACGUGUAUCUAUAUCAUGAACCAUGAGCCUUUUCACCCUACUGGGUAUCUCCUAUAACUAUUUAAACUAUUUUUUGAAAAUAUUUCACAAAAAUUAGACCCUUUUUUUCUUCAUGUUAUUGGACUUAGAUAGGAACCUUGGCUCUUCUACUUCCUCUUUAUUGCCCAUGGUAUUAGAUUGUUGUGACUUGAGAGAUGAUUUUGAAACUCAUAGGAACCUUUUUUUUUUUCUUCUUUCAUUUUUAUUUUAUGGUCAUGGGACCUCAAUUAUUGUGACUUGAGAAAUAUAUAUAUAUAUAUAUAUAUAUAUAUAUAUAUAUAUAUAUGAAACUCUUGAGUGUCUAUUUGUAUUAGUGGUUCUAGCAAACAGCUCAACCCUUGAUACAUAUUACAACCCCAAAUGACAAAGAACCAAAGGAAUAAAUAAAGCAAAUUUGUGGUUCUAGCAAACAGCUCAACCCUUGAUACAUACUAUAACCCUAAAUAACAAAAUAUCAGAUGGAUGAACAAAGCAAAUUCCUCUCAAAUGGCUAGCAUAUAUAUUUUAUGAAGUAAACGUGUAUGAAAUGGUAACAAACAACAUCAUUACAUAUAUAAGGAGAGAGAUUUGGCACAUCAUAUUAUUAUUCAUUAUUGUCUUUUAUAUAAAAGAAAAAUUAUUAAAUUUGGUGAUGAUAAAUAUUCAAUUUAAUUAUUAUCAACUUCUAUACCAUUAUUGUAAUGGCUUAAUUAAUUAUAUAAACAUGUGGAGUUGCAUUGAAUGAUUUGGAGAGAGAGUCCAUACUUCAUAUCAUUUUAAGAUAUGAUUCCUUUGAGAGGGGCCAUACUCAACUCGAUCCAUGUCAUUUCAAGACAUGGUAUCUUCAUCAUACUAGCACGAGGAUAUGAAUUGUGAGAAUCUUUUAUUCAUUUAUUUAUCUAUUUAUUAUUAUUUGGGUUGGAAUCCCAACACAUUUGGGUGAUGGUCUUAGAAGUUUUGUAAUAAAGGUGAUGGUCAGCUCCAUGUUUGCAGGAACAAAGAUAAGAAUGGCACGGACCACGACACACCAAGUUGGUCCGAUUUCUACAUCAAAGACACCCAUGCAUAAUUGUUCGCAUUAAUUUCCUUUGUCCUCAUUUAAAUGAAUGAAAAAUAUAAUUAAACAUUUUCUUAUCCCUAACAACCAACUCAAUCAUAAACUUUUUGUCUCUUUCUUAUUUUUUUCGUCCCAUUUCUUUAAUCGAUUCAGACAAUGCUAAUGUAUUGAUUGAAUACUAUAUGGGAGUUUAAAAUCCAACCUCUUUGAUAUGCAUUAUUUAAUUUGAUCCGUUUAAUAAAAAUUUUAAAAUUUAAGAUUAUUGUACAAAUAAAUAAAAUCAAUAUAUAUAUAUAUAUAUACAUAUAUAAAAUUAGACUUAUCUUAUAUACUUAAAAAAUUAUAUUUUAAAAAAAAAUUAAACUAGAGAUGGUAAAAAAUUUUAAUACCUUAAUUUUUUAAUUAAUUUUUAAAAAUCAUUACAUUUUGAGAAAUUCUUCUAUUAUUUUCCAUUUUUAAAAAUAGAAAACAAGAAAUAUAUUUGAUGAUACAUUAAGAAGUUGUCUUGCAAUGCCACCUUUGUUCAUGGUUUGUUCUAAAGCCAAAUUGAAGCUAGCAACAUCAUUAGAAUUAAUAAGUUUAAUUAAGUAAAAGCAAUACUAUUUAGUUGAACAUCAAUGAAGCAUUAAUCCCAGGCAACAUAGAGGAAAUUGGCCAGGUAAAAUUUUGUGAUGUUGGAUUAUUGAUAUGACAAAUGCAUAAUUAUGGGGGUUAAAUAAGAGUAAUUGAAGGAAUUACUUUUUUUUUCAUGCAAUUAAAUUUUAUGUUUGGAAAUUCUAUCUUAAAAAUAUUUUUAAAACAAUUUAUUUGCUUUCAAUAAAAAUAAAUAAAUAAAAAUAAAAAAAGGGAAAGAAAGAAAACAGGCUAUUUUUUUAAUUGUUUUCACUAAAAAUGCUAAAUGUUUUCUAUUUUUUUAAAUAAACUAGAUGUUUUCAAAAACAAUUUUUUAUUUUUAAAAAUUAAAAACUAGAUGUCUCAAUAAAAAAAACACCAUCUUUUAAGUAUUUUCACUUUUUUUUUAGGGUUGCUUAAAAAAUAUUUAUACAAAUAUGAAAGUUAAUUAAAAAUAAAGCACUAUAUAUAAAAAUUAUUUUUAAAACAUGUUUAAAAACAUAAAAAACAAAUUAAAAACAUUUUAGAUUUUCACACAAACUUUUGUUAUACAAAACAUGUUUUUUCAAAACUACUUUCGAAAACACUUAAUGAAACCUAUUAUGAAUUAUAAUAGUUUUAUAGAUGUUGAGCAUCCCCAUGAUAAGCCUUAAUAAAGACAUUAACAAAAGUGAUAUAAGCUAAAAGAGCUAUCACCCAAAUCAAUCCCCAAUCUCCAAUGGAGCCUAAGUCAUAUUUUAACAAAUGUAAUAUAUAUAUGUAUAUAAUUUAGAAAAGGUUUUAUUAUUUAUCCCCAUCCAAACAACCCCUGCAUUUCAUAAUUUCAAAUAAAAUAAAAUAAUCAUUUUAGGGUUAUGAAGAGGCCUCAAGGGAGGAAUAACAACAAAAUCAAUGAGAAACCACAGGGCAGUCCCUUCAAAUCCUCAAACACAAAGAGAAGACCCUCCACAAAUCUUCAUUUUUCUUUAUUGAGUUGUCAAAAAGAACUUAUCAUAUCAAAAAGUACCUAAAAUAAAAGAAUGGAGCUAUCUCUUCAUGGCUUACCAAGAAAAACCCACCAGCCAUGGCAAAAAUCCUACUCUGCAACUGGGUUAUACCUUAACUUCACAUCUUUACACUGCAAAUUUGACCUGUACAAUCUUCAUCUUUGUCUAAUAUAUGUGACAUGUUGAAUAUCAAUAGAUUAUAGAUAUUGGCUGGGUACUUUCUGUUAGGGAUUGUUACCAGUCUAAGCCUUUGUGCUUGUUGAGGAAUAGACUGUGCCCUCCUUUCCUGCUGUACAACGCAAAACCUGGAAAUGGUAAGAGAAAACACUUUUAGACGCAGGAUAUUGGACUCAUUAGUUUAUAUCCAACAAGUUCUAAAAACCCGAGUCAUGAAUAAACAGUUCGAAAUAAUUCAUUUUCUGAGUUGUUGGUAAGAUACCCAAUGAACAGUUGAAAAUAUAUCAGGUAGAUUUGGCACUAAGGUUUAUAAAAGAACAGGCAUGGCUAGAAAACAGUAUUCUGGAAGUUAGAAACCAAGGAAAAUACCAUUAGUACCCAAGGGGAAUAGCAAAAGAAUAUCAUCCAUAGGAGUGUGAAGUUCUCCAACAGUGGAACGGAAGGAAACAAAAUCUUGGAUGCCUUUUCAUUUUGAUAAGCAUAGAAACCAUUCAAUGCUUUCUUUUACUUAAACCACUACUGUAUCUAGUGAGGAACUUCACUUUUAUCGUACCGCUUGAAGCUAUGAUAUCUGGAUCCUUCAAUUUUACCUAAUGUCCCCUCAUCGACAUGACAUGAUAUGGGUGUGAUAGGAUCCUUAUUGGACACUCUUAUUUUACUUCGGAUGUGUCAGUUUGAAUUUUUUUUUUUAUUCCCUCAACUUUCUUGGUAAUAAUUACAUUAGCGAAGAAAAGUUAGCUGAAAGGUGAAUUAUUGUAAGAAAAUUUAGGGAAAAGAGGAAAAAAAGGGGGGAGUAGAGGGAAAAGAUGGAAGCUUCUAAAAAUAAUAUUUUCACUACUAAUUUUUUUUAAUUGAUUUUUCUUUAUACAUGGUAUACCAAUAUCCAUGCCCCUUUUUUGGAUCCCUUUUGUCCAAGUCCCCGUAACCUAAAAUUUGAAUUGUGGAGGAUCAGAAGGUAGACAUAUACCUGCACCAAUACUCAAACUGAACUCAUGCAACAUAUGUUUGAAGCAUAAAUUUUUGUAAUUUCAAUUUCUCAAACCAAGACGGGUCGACUGGUUAAAUGAUUUGCUUCUAAAAUAAAUAUUCAUUAUUUUUCAACUAACAAAAGAGUAGAUAAGGAGAACAGAGAUGUACUUACCUCAAGUUAUUGCAUCCUUUAUUGACAAAUGAGCUGAUAUGAUGUGCAUAGCCAUUUCUUGCAAAUUUCUCCAUGAAUGAGAUGCCUACUGCGAUUAUCACAUAUGUAUAAUAUUGUUAGGAAGAUAUUCACAAAAUGCUGCCACAUGAUGAAGAAAGAAAUUUUCGACAGCUUAUAGUUCUCAGCAAAGCUUUAAAAGAAAAAAACACAAAGAAACUAGACCCUUGGAAAAAAAAACAUGUUUUGAAGAAACCAGACCACAAUAGCUUAACAAAGACUUGAAAAGAUGGUAACAACAUUCCCUUGCAAUUUGAAUUAGGAAACAUAACACUGAAGAUUAUUCUACUAUUAGUAGCCAUAGAAGCUACAACCUUCUGGCCAUCAAGUAGAAGAUUUAGCAAAAUAUGAAAUAUGUUACCUUCAAUUAACAAAUAAAUUUGUUUCUAAUAAAAACUAAGGAGGGGAACACAAUUUAAGUUUUCUAGUUUAAAUAUAAGAAACUGAUUACUAUUCUUCGUAGACAGUAAUCAAAUAUUCAGCUACAAAUGAGCAACUGAGCACCAAUUAGUCGAAUGUUAGGCUAGAUGUUCCCUUAAUUUUCCAUGUAUGGACCUAACCUUAUGCUUCAAUAGGCAGACAUCUAGCAAGGUAUGAAAAGUUAACAUAUAAGCAGAGACAUUUUAUUUUAGGCAAACAAGAAGUAUACAGGAAUUAUUUAAACAGCACUGAACCAACAAAGAUGAGAAAGGACAAAAGAAAUAUAACUCUAAUAGCUCACUUCCAUCAAUAAGUUUCUAGCCAAUCAACAAAAUUUGAUAAUAGACAAUGAGAACUGAUCUAAAAACUUACCAGCCCAAAGCCUAAGCAAGAUAAGCAAGAAGUUCUCGAGAGCAUGAUCUUCUUGUGCCACAUUUUCAAACGCUCUCAAUUGCUCUCCUCCCCAACAGUCUAGAAUAAGCACAACAGGCAACCCUCUACACAUUCCCAUGUUUCUUUCCCACAAAGGUCUCAUGCCAACUUAAUAGAGUCUCUCAAACUGUAGAAGACAACACCCACACAAAGCCAAACAAGGAGAAUAACUAGUGCCACAAGAUCUUCAUGUUAGCACAAUGAAAAAGGUUCAUUCCCCAAGGUCCAUCCUCUUCUUUUUUAUAUUACCCAAAGUCAACAUCCUUCCCUAAAUUGUUUUCCAUGCAAAGAACUCAAACUCUUGUCAACACCCAAGAGUUACAAACUACAUUUACUGAAAAAGUUCAUACCCAUCUUGGCUCCAAACAGGAGUAGAAGGCUUUAGAAAUUUCUGACCUCUGAACCCCUCCAACACAAUCUAUCUUCCUCGUCCCUCCUCAUUGAUUGCUUUUCCAGCUGCAAAAGAAAAGCCUCAACAUUUUCCAGCCCCCAGUCAUGGAAUGUGUCUUAAGAAACAAGGGCUCCAAUGCCCCUGUUUGGAGACAUCGUUCCAAAAACACACCCGAACCUACCUGCCUUUCCACCCCCCAAAAAAUAAUUACAAUGAUAAUAACAACAUAUUAAAUACAUAAACAAAUAAGGUAAAUAAAAAUCAAAGCAAAAAAAAAAAAAAAAAAGGAAUCAUAACCGACAAUUUAAAUAAUAAAUCGGGAUCAUCUUGAAUAAAUCCUCUACAAUAAAGAAAAAAAUUAAGCUAAAAUGAAAUGGAUAUAAAACUGCAACAUGAUAUACCUUGCAUCCUGUUAUCUCCAAAUGUCUAAAGCAUUUGCUUUCCUCUAUAACUGCGAUGCCAUCCUUUUGGUUUCAUGUUUCUUUUAUUGAUCCACUUAUCUGCAUCCAAUAAAGAUAUCCAAACUCACACCCAGUUCAGUUCCUAAAAUCUAGAACAUUUCUUGUUUUCUUCAUGCCCGGCGAUACCCUGGAAGUCAGAUUAGUAAAUUUAGCAACUGAUAAGUGCAAAUGAUGAUGUAAUAAAAUGAACUUGCAAAUAAACAACAUUUAACUAAAUGAAGCUGUAUCACCACAGUGAUAGAUUGAACCAUUUUCAUUUUCAUGUUACUUGCAAAAGAAUUGGAAGGGAAAACAAAAGCAUUGGCUUUUAUUUCAGCUGGAGAUUCACACCUGCCCAGGAGAUAAACAUACUCCCCCUCCCUCUGCUGGAUAUUCUCCCUUUCAUAGACAAGAAAAAUCUCAUUCUUAUUUAACCUUCCAUUCUAACUCAUCCUUGUCAAACUUUCAACUGGUGUAGAUGCAAAUCAAGCGGAGGCAUCCAUACAAGCAAGCAUGCUAUGAUGAUUGAGGACUAAAUGCUUCUCAUUGCUAUAUUUGUUCUGCAGUCCAGCAUCUCAGCCUCAGUUGGCACCCUUAUUUAACUACAAAAUAAAAAAGAGAAUGCAGGUUUAAUACAUUUGAACAAUGAUUAAAUCAUACUAGUAAGACCUUGAGAUUAUGUUUUGUCAGAUGUAAUUUUGAUGAUUACUCUGCUUUAACCUUGGAAGCAUUGGCAUGUUAAUGUCUUAUUUUUCCAUGUAUGAAAAUAGUAAUUACACUCGUAUGAAAGCACAUUUCUAAAAGGUUACAAGUUGUUGAUCAGAAAUCAUAUUUUACAUAUAAAGACAUCUAGAAUCAAAACCUUGUUCUUUUCCCCCAAAGGGUAGUAGGUUUUACAUCUGAUGUGAAAUUUGUAUUCUAACCCUUUAUUUAAUUGCUGAAAAAUGAAUGAAAAAAAGACAGAUUUUUCUAUUGACUUCAUUUAAAAUGAGAAACUCAACUCAUCAAUGACAAAAAAUUGAAUUAGGAUCAGUUGUGCUGGGGUUUCAGGUAUCUCAGAACAUCAAAAGCAUUUAAAGAAGUAAGCUUCAAAAAAAUUGAUGUUUACUCUUUUCCUACAUUUUUCAUUAAGCAAAUGGACGUGAAAAAUAAUCUUUUGUAAAAGUGGAGUCCUUUUCCUCAAAAUUAGUUUUGGGUUUUCAUCAAGAAGCCUUGUUUAUGAGAGUCAUCAAUUCUUUCAAUCCAGAUCCUAUACUCAUGGCAUUAUUUUUAUAUUUUUUGAUAGGCAAAUAUCCAUUAUAUUAACCACACCUAACCAAGCAGGGAAUUAAAGUUUACACAGUUUGUACAAAGGCACCAAAAGGCCAUACCAAGUGGAGAUAUACUCAUGGUAUAUCUUGAGCCGCUAUUUCAGCAUCUCUUUGUAAUACAAUGCUUUUCUUACUUAUCAAAAUAAUAAUAAUAAUAAUAAUAAUCCAGAUAGAUCAAGAUCAGAGGGUAUAAUUUAUUGCCCUGCACACUUAACAGCAAGAAAACCCUUCUAAAGAAGUUUGACCAGGUAGCCCAUGCCAUAUAUUCAAUAACAUGUUCAAUAUAGUUGUGGAAAUUCAAAAACUUUCAGCACUUAACACUCAAUAGAGAUAUAAUUCCAAUGAAUAAUAAUCUAUUUAAACACUUCUUUCCGGUAGAACAUAGAAUCAAUGAGAGGGGGUGUAGAAAAGAAAAGGUAGGCCCAACCAAAGGUGUGCCAGUGGUCACUUCGAAUCAAAUCUCCAAAGGAAACUGGAGUCAUUGGUACAACACCAUAGCAUCACAUUAGAGAAUCUCCUGCAAAAUGAGUUCAGAAAACUCUGAACCCUGGUCAUUUAAGAACACAGAGAAGAAAGAUUUUACCUGGACUACCAAUCUCAAAAAGAGGGGAAAAAUGAUGAACCCAACAUGGUCAUCCAGCUAGUCUCAGAAAGGAAGAGAACAUGUCACAUGACACAACACAGAUAUGCCAACCAGAAAUCGUGAAGAAGUGGGACAGGGAAGAGAGAGAGAGUGCCUAUAUUCAUGCAUACAUGCUUGUAUACAAGCGCACACAAAUGGUCUUGGGAAUAGAUUGUGCACCACAGAGAAAAUAAGACACGGGCACCAGACAAGAAGAGGAGGAUUAAAAAUGCCCUCCAAACUCCUCCAGCAGAAAGGCCCCUCUUUUAGCCUAGAUAUCAGCUUCUUCAAUGAUGCCUUGCAAAGCCAGUUUGUCUGAUGCUCUAUCAUGGGAAAUAUGCACUCUCUCAUAUUAAAUGUGUAGACCUACAAGGACCCAAGUUGUUAGACAAAGCCCACUUCAUUUCUAAAUAAAUAAAUAAUUAGUGGACAAAUCACAACCUCCCUUCAAUCUAUUCCAACCCACCAGGUAAAUCUUCUCAAAUCCCCUAAAAAAAAAAAGCCCUUCCCCUGCUGAUGUGGCAAUCAUUCAUGUGGCAAGUGAUAAUCUUUAGUGCCCUCCAUAUCUCCCUUCUGUCUCUCCCCUGCCUUUACUCACUCAUAAUACCCAAGGAAGUCCCCUGAACUUCUUAGUGACCGAGAUCAUGAUGAGUAAACAACUUUUACCAAACUAAUUCCUCAUGGUUUUUGACUUAUCCUAAACUGUGUUACAGAGUUCCUUCCCAAUCAAAUAAUCCAAAUUAGACCAAAGCAUAAAAACCAUACUGUCUUGCGUCUACCUCCUCCAGUGUCCUAGAACCUUAUAACCAAUAUAGAGGAGAUUUCCAGAAGGAACCACCCAACUUAAGGCUGCUAAGUUAAGCCUCCUCCCAUGAUGCAAGUAAAAGAAGGCAAUGCAAGAACAAGCUAUCACUAUUUUCAUCAUUUCUUUGCAGACUAAACAAAUGCCCAUCGUUAAGGAUUUAUUGGAUCUCCUAGUUUGAAGCUUAUUAUUGGUGUUCACUUUGUUACGAGCCACUAUUAAAGCUGAUGCCUAAUCUUGGGAGAGAGCUUUCCCUUCCAAAUCCUUUUCUACUCUUGAUCAGAUCUAAAACUUUUUGCAAGAAGAAAAUACAAGAACUUGUUUCCCUGAUUAAGAAAUGGAAAUAAAGUUUCAAAGAAAAAAUAAUUAUGUUCAAGGGACUAAAUCUAAUCAUCUUGGAUUAGAAGAGGCAAGCAUAAUGUAAGGUAUCAAGAAGAGAAGUCACCUCAGAGUAUUCUUGGUUGUUGAGCUUCCAAACAAAAUAAAAUUCCCAAGAGAAUUCACUAACAUAGAAUAGGAAUAUUACCAAAAAAGGUAAUUCUUAUGUAAGAUGGCAAAGAUGGGAAAAAGGCUGAUAAAAGACUCAUUACCCAUCGACUGUCCGAGAACCAAACAUGAAAAUCAUUGCAAAUACAGUAGCUCAUGAGAGGGGCCAACAAAGGAAACUUCAAGCAAGGAAUUUUCAAUGACAACGGUACAAAUCUGUUGUCACCAAAAGAAGCAUCCUGCCUAUUCUCCUAAAACCGUAUGAUCUCUUGACUACUAGGGACAAUAAAUGCCCAUACUCCCUAGCAAAUCUCCAUCCCAUUUCUAUAAAUCACCUUGCCUAAACUUGUGCCCCUCUUUAUAUCGGACUAGCCAACAGUCUUCCAAUUAACUAAAUGAAUUUUCUUACUAACACCUGCCCCAGUCCAUAUGAAAUCCUUUAGAAGUCUGCCAAUCCUAUUAAUUACCUUGACUCACAUCUUGAAUAAAGAUAAGAAACAGGUGAGGGACUAUUGAUCUUAACUUAAAGGAAGCCCAAGGAAUUUAAAUGGCUGUUGUCCUAUCUUAGAACCUCAAGCAAUGACCAAAUUUUUCCAAACCUCCUUAUCCAUAUUAGUGUCUAAAAGCACACUUUUCACCAUAUUCAUCUGAUGAACAAGACCCUCCCAGAAGAGGUAAUAACAAGCUUCAAAUGCCUUACUCUUUCCCUCUUCCUAAUUUCCCCACAGAAAACAAAGUAGUAUCAUCAGCAAACUCUCUCUUCACCAAUUCCAGAACACCAAAUGACAUCUAUCUCAAAAACCUCCACUACAAGCCUAUUCUGCACUUCAGUUACGAAUACAAACAAUAAAAGAGAGAUGGUCUCCCUGCUUAAAAACUCUCAAGGCUUCAAAUCAUCCUUUAGGUUCACUAUUGAGGAUAACCACAAAAUUAGAUGAUUCAAACAUUUCUUAAUUCAACUCCUGAAAAAGGAAACCUUUCUUAGGUAAGACCUACAGGAAGCCCUAACCCAGACAAUCAUUGAUUUUUCAAAAAUAGAUCUUUAAAAACCUCCCCCUACUUGCUAGACUUUCAAAGCUCUUUGACAACCUCAUGGGCAAUCAAGGUCUGAUCAACAAGCUUUAUAUCCUUGGUGAAGUCUUCACAGAGAAAGAAUGCAUGCCCUGAAGCACUUCUCUCUGUCACUCAAGAUGAAUUAGGCAAUGACUUCAACUCAGUUGGAUCAGAUCAGAUUAGAAGUCAACCUUGCCUCAACCAGAGAAAUAACAUCCUUAACCUACAGCCAAGGCAAAAACCCAACCUCCUGCCAACUGAACAGCCCAACCCAAGGUGAAGCCAAAGAAGCUAAAUCAGAUUAGUAAAGUUUGAAGUAAUUAUUAGAGUAGAAGGCUGUUAGAAUGAGGUAGUUAUUAGAGUAGAAGCCCUUGUGUUCUCUACUUGUUUGCAGUAAGUCUCCAAUAUUAACUUUCUUAGAAGCCACAACCUAUGAGAAGCUUUUAACCUUGGGGAUGCAGGCUUCUCCAACCCAAAUAAGUUUAAAAUAGAAAGACUGAAGAGAAAGAUCAACACCUGAAAAAUCUUUACAAAAUUUCAUCAAUGAAACAGAGUCGACUAUCUUUCCACAUGCUUAAUCAGGAUUCUACCCAUUAGAAUGUCUCACACAUACCAAAUCUCAAAAAAAAAAAAAAAAAAAAUGGUAGGUGUAAGUAUAAUACAUUGCCAAAAGUCAUAACCAAACAAGAGGGAACUACAAAAAACCACUCCCUCCCUAAAAGGGAAUCCAACAAAUCAAUUAAAUGCAUUAAACCUUCAACUAGAUAUAUUGCCAAAACCACUCCCUCCCUAAAAAGGAAUCCAACAAAUCAAUUAAAUGAAUUAAACCUUCAACUAGAUAUAACUUAGUCCACCAUAAAAGAUUACUAAGAACAGUGUUUUUUAGUCUUUGGUUAGUCGCAUUUGCAAACGAUCUUCAACUUGUUUUUCUUUACCGUCCAAAAAAUACACAAAAGAGCUAUUUGCACCAAUUUCUUUCAUUUUUUUCCUACAAAGGAAUUAUGUCAUCCUAAGAAAAUCUCUUUAACCAUGGAAGAUAUCACCCAAGAUAUGCCAAACAAAAAGAGAAAAAAAAAUUGUCAUAAACCCUUGUCUUGAUACAAUGAAGGGGAGUGCAAUCAUUGGAUUCUUUCUCAUUCUUGCAAAGAAAGCAUCUAUUUACCAACAAACCACCCUCUUCUCUAAAGUUGAUGUAGAAUCAAUACUUUUCCCCAACUCGCCUCCCAUGGAGGAAAACUCACUUUCGACAACUCAAGAGUUCCAAAUUACUCCUAUUGAGAAAGGAAUUGAUCUCCCCAACUUCAAUAUUGAGUAUGAAGCUUUGACAGACGUAGUUCCAUUCUUUGACUCCAUCCAAAUCACCUUAUCUUCCCCUUCUCUAUUCACCAUCUUGCCUUGUAGUCUAGAAAAAAAAACUCUCCACAUUGUCCAACUCUCAACCAUUCAAAUUCUUAGAGAAACAAAGAUUCCAGUAAACCCCUUCCCUUGACUAGUCCCACAAAUCCACCACCUAUGUCUCUUUCGAUACAACUAAUGCAUACAAUGAUGGGAAGGAUACACAUAAAGGUUUAUCUCAAUACCAUUUAUCCCUUCAAAACUUCACUCUCCUCCUAGUAACCAUAGGAAAGGAGACUACUAUUAAAAAGAUCACAAUCUUUUCUAAUAGCUUUCUAUAACCAAACACCAUGCUCAUCUCUCACCUUACAAGAAUGCCACAAUGCCCCUUGCCUAGGGCCAUCUUCAUAUUGUUCACCUAUGACCUACUUCGAGAGAGCUACCCUUUCAGAUGCAUAUCACUAACUUCACUUACAACGAAAGACCUUGUUGAGCGAAUAGAGACAUCUAACACCCAAGCUCCCCUUCCUCUUGUUUGUGUAGAAAAUAGCCUACUUUAUUAAAGUUGUUUUCUCUCUAGAGUGAACUUCCCUCCUUUGGAAUCCUACACAUUACAACUAAAGGAAAAGCCAAGUAGUUAAAAGCUCUCCCACCUUGCAACUUAUCUCUGGGGCUAAGUACUCCAUGUUAUCCACCCUUCCAAUCAAAAUCAACUCACUCAUCUCUAAAUUUAUUUUCAGCCCUAAGAUGGCUUUAAACCGCCUGAGCAACUAGUUUAAAUGAGUUAUCUAAUCUUGAGAAGCCUCACAAAAAAUAGUAGUAUCAUCAGAAAACAACACAUGGGAUACUUUCACCCCCUCACCUCUUCUAGCCCUCACCUUAAACCCCAAUAGGAAUCCCACCCCCCACCCACCCUUGGCCCAAAUAAGAAAACAACUAAGAGCCUUCAUGGCUAACAUAAAUAAGAAAGAAGAUAGAUAUCCCCUUGUCUCAAGCCCCUAGAGUUUUGAAAAGUGCCAGAAGUGGUGCCAUUAACAAGAAUGGAGAACCUUGUUGCAAACAUGUAUCAGUUAAUCAAUUUGAUCCAUUGUUGAAUAAAAGAAGUCUUAAUUAACGUGAUCAUAUGUCUUUUCAAUGUCAAACUUACACAAUAUCAAGAAAACAACAAAUAAGAUGCUUUCACCCCCUUACCUCUACCUUUUAUUGUAAACCUCGAUAGGAUUCCGCCAUCCUUAGCCCUCUUAAGAAAACAAUUGAGAUGCUUCAUAGAUAACAUAAAUAAGUCAGAAGAAAGAGGAUCCUCUCGUCCCAAGCCCUUAGAGCUUUGAAAAAAGACAGAAUAGGUAUCAUUAACAAGAAUAGAGAACCUUGUUGUAGAUAUGCGCCAUUCAAUUCAAACAAUUUUUUCCAAGAUAAAAGGCAAAUAGCCUAAUUAAUGUGAUCAUAUGCCUUUUCAAUGUCAAGUUUGGACAAGUGGUCACUUUUUAACAUAGUGUCAAUAGCCUCAUUAGAUAUAAGCAUUGCAUCUAGAAUCCUCCACAAAUGCAUUCUAAGACUUGGAUACUACUUUACCCACCACCUUUUUCCAAACUAACCCAAUUCAUUAAAAUCUCUCAGAAAUCCCACACCCUCUUCCUUCACAAAGUCCCAAUUGAACUGCUAGAAGGCUAUAGAGAACCUAUCCGGACUUGGAGCNNNNNNNNNNNNNNNNNNNNNNNNNNNNNNNNNNNNNNNNNNNNNNNNNNNNNNNNNNNNNNNNNNNNNNNNNNNNNNNNNNNNNNNNNNNNNNNNNNNNUAAGCCUCACAACCAAAAAGAAAGCAAAAAAACCCCACCAGCCCUUAUCUGGAGGCUAUCCACUCCAAGAAGCCUAUAAGAGACAGCGACCUCUCUCCACUAUACAGUCUCGCCCAACACCAUAAAUUACAGACAAAAGAAUUUUUUAAUCUUUGAAUAUCUAUCACCCCCCUAAAAGCAAGUCUAUUUCUUUCCUUCCAAAGAGUCCAAAAGAUGUACAACGGUAUAGACUUCCAUAUCUUUUUCCUUUUUUCCCCUACAAAAGGGCUCCUCCAGCUUAAUAAGACCUCCUUUACAGUUUCUGGAAAGACCCACUGAACACCAAACAAAGCACAUAUCAUAUCCCACAGGACUUUUGCCACUAUACAAUGAAUGAGGAUGUGAUUUACAGUUUCCUCUUCGCAGCCACACAAGAAGCAACGGUUAGGGAGUUGCCACCCUCUUUUCUGAAAGCCUAUCUAGCGUAAGCACCUUGCCCCAAGUAGCCUCCCAAGCAAAAAACAAAGUUUUUGUUGGAACUUUAUCCACCCAAAUGUUGUUUUUCGGAAAGUUGUUAGCCACGGUAUUAACCACCAAGUUGUAGGCUUCUUUUACUUUAAACUGCCCGUUUCUUCCCCCUUUCCAAAAAACUGCAUUCUCUUCUAAAGUAGGUUUGUAUCCCCUCAAAAUAUGAAGCAAAUUACCUACCAUAUCCAACUCCCAAUCAUUGAAACCCCUCACAAACCUUAAAUCCCAAUCUCCUUGGCCGACAUUCUGAUCCCACAUUUCUUCUAUUAUGCCAUUUCUAUGAGCAGCCAUCCCAUAAAGGUGAGGAAACCUUUGAGACAGCACUGUACAACCGCACCAAAGAUCAUUCCAAAAUCUGAUUUUGGUACCAUUCCCCAUAGUAAAAGCCAUAUUUUCCCAACACCAAUCUUUUUCCUUCAGAAUUUCCUUCCAAACCCCUACUCCAAACGUCCCAUUAGCCUUUGUCGCCAUUCAAGUCCAAUAGAGCAUUGAACAACUCUUCCUCUAAGAACAGCUCCUCUAAUUUUACUGCUUCCUACUCAUCUAAAACGUCAAAAAGCAUUCCAUGGCUACUAAAUCUCUACUCCCCUAGAUCAAAUAAUAAGUUGAGGAAAGCCCAAGCUAUCCCUUCCUUUAUCUCAUUCUCCUUAGUUAACCAAACUUCGUUCACUUUAAUCUUGGCUGGAAAGUUCCUUCCAUGUGCAUUAACCAUUUUAUGAAAGAAUUUAGAAUUUAUAUCACCUUCCUUUAACCAAAUCUCCCUUUAUUUUUGCCUUCAUGAAGCUUCUUCCAUAAGGGUCCCAUUUUUUAUGCCCCUUGUGACUCUUCUACCUUCCAUCCUACCUGAGACAAGGCACCUAUCCUCUCCUUGGAAUCCCAAAAGACCAAUUGUCCUCUCAAAAAUUACCAAGCACCCUAGUAAAUCUUCAUAGAUUUCACUGCUAAAGCAUUAGUUCAUAAAAACAAAACAGUGCUCAUUUUUGUUGCUACACAAUUUCACCAAGCCCAUGAGGCAUGAAAGGAUCAUCCCUUGUACUUGAAACAAAGAACAACUUUGACACUUCUAUAGAUUUCAUACAUAACUUGAAUGUGCUUGAUCUAUUUUCAGUAAGUUCUUCAUAGCUAAACCUGACAUAAUAAGGAUUGUCCCAGUAGGACAAGUAAUGGGUCGAUAACAGUGGCUCCUCAGCUUCUAAAACAAGAUUGCUUUGGGUUUAGUCCCAUUUAAACCACCCAGCCAGUCUUACAAUUUUCUUUCCUCACAAACCAGGAGCAAACUGGUCUCCUUUAUGGCUUUAUCUAUGGGUGCAUCUGUUCCCUAUCUUCUUAUAAAAAUCCUUUGUUACCAUGCAAUUUUCUGCUUGUACUUUCAAAAUCAAAAUAAAUCAACAAGGCCUUUUUAACCCUUGGCAUUCAUUGGUCCAAACUGACAUAUCUCAGCAAGAAGAAUUAAACAUUCCACACUGGAAAUACUCCAUCCAAACAGGACUAGAAGUGGUUUCGUAGUCAUAUAAGAUGAAGGAUUGGUAUAAUUAGCAAAAAAUUUCUUGGCCCACAGGUCCACUCUUCUGCAAAUGGAAUCACAGUGAAAAUGUGGCAUCAACAGCACUCCUAAUGAUGCAAAAAUGGAGGAAAGGAUUUUAAUUUUAAAAAAUAACAAUAACAGCAACAUGCCAUUCCUACCAACACUGAAGGGUUUAUAUUGUUAAACAAACUCGACCUGUAUAAGGGCAUUUAUAAACAGAAUAUGGUGAGAAUGGUGAAAUCAAAUGCAAAUAGCAUGCUAGUUAAUUACCUUGUACAAGCUCUAAAUGCUUCAUGGAUGAGAAAUAAUGGUGAAUUAAAACCCACUCCAUCUUCUGCGAGCAAUUUUCCUAAAACAGGAGCACAGCAAAGCACAUGAAAAUCAAUUACAUUAGAGUGAUGACAACAACAGAAUACAGCCUCCCAAAGUUACUUCAAAUGCAGUUAUUUAAACAAUUUAAUCACAGUUAUAAUGCAAACUGAAGUAAAAGAGAAGUGAUUACAAAUUAAGCACCCAACCUCUUAGAAGUUCACUGAUCACUCUUGAUUUGUUAAUGCUGAUGGUUGUUGCCACCCAUGAACCAAAGUAGUAUAUGUAAUUUCAUCUAAAGGUAACCCUUCCUGGGACAUAUAAUCACAUAUUUUAAAACCUUCUUCUAUCUUCCCUUCCUUGCAAAACCCAUUUGUCAAGACAUUAUAAGUGACAGUGUCUGGGACAAUUCCUUUUCCUACCAUUUCAUGUAGAAGCUUAGCUGCUGUUUUCAUAUCACCUGAUUUGGAAUAUCCAUCAAUCAUGACAGUAUACGUAAUUUUAUUAGGGUGUAUGUCAUAUGAAGACAUUUCCUGCAAGACAUUCACCACUUUAUCCAUCUGACCUAGCUUACAGUAACCACCAAUUAGUGCAGUAUAACAGACAACAUUUGGAAGCAAACCCUCCUUUCUCAUUUCAUCAAUAAGGCAUUUUGCAUCCUCCAUGCGUCCAAUAUUGCACAUUCCAUGUAUUAGAGAAGAAUAUGUGGCUGUAGUUGGUGGAAUACCCUUGCUUCUCAUGUCAUCAUGAAGUUUAAAGGCCUCCACUGUAUUCCCAUUUCGACAGUAUGCUCUGAUAAGUGUAUUAUAAACAACAGAAUUCAGUUCCAAAUUCUGAGUGAGCAACUCAGUGAAGAGUUUUUCUCCCUCCUCAAUUUUGUCAGCCUUACAAUAUCCAUCAAUCAUGACACCAUAUGUAUAAACAUUUGGAACUAGAUCUCUACUUUUACAUUCAUUCCAAAGGUUCACAGCUUCGUCCAAUUUACCAAUACGACACAUCCCGUGUAUCAGCAAAUUGUAAGUAAAAGUGUCUGGUUCAAUUCCUUGCUUAACCAUUUCUCCCCUCAAUUUAAAACCUUCCUCAACCUUUCCCUCCUUGCAACACCCUGAGAUGAGUGUGUUGUAUGUGAUCUUAUCCAAUACGAAACCCCUUUCUAACAUCUUCUUGAGAAGCCUAACAGCCUCUUGCAUAUUACCCGUUUUGCAAAGUCCAUGAAUUAGAGCAUUUGUGGUCACUAAAUUGGCUCCAAAGCCUUUCUCCAAGAGCCUAAACCAAAGUUCCACUGCAUCUGAGUGCUUACCCUCCUUACAAAGCCCACCCACCAAUGUGGUCAGCAACCCAUCAUUGGGUCUCAUAUUUCUUAAUAGCAUCUCCCUGAGGAAUCUUAGUGCAGACUCAAACCUAGAAUUCAUACAUAACCAGUGAAUAAUCGUAGUAAAAGCACCAGGGUUUAUAGAGAAUCCUCUCGAUAGCAUCUCCUCCAAAAUGCACUCAGCUUGUUCCAUCUGCCCAAUCUUGCAAAAUCCCUGGAUGAUUGAAUUAAGAGUAACUGAAUUGGGGUUGAUUCCCUUGGAGACCAUAUCACCCCUUAUCCUCAAUGCAUCCCCAAGGUUUCCCAUUUUACAGUAUCCAUCAAUCAAUGUGUUAUAAACAACCUCAUUCGGUGUAAACCCCUUUUCCAACGUUUCCUUCAAAACAGAAUUUGCUUCAUUAAACUUUUCCAAUUUCAUCAAACCAUUAAUAAGAACACUGUAAGUUAUAAGAGUAGCAUUCACGCCAUCUUUCACCAUUUUCUCCUUGAAUCGAAAAGCCUCAUCUAAAUUCCCAUGCUUGCAUAAACCAUGAAUAAGAUUAUUAUAUGUAACAACAUUCGGAGAAACACCCAACUUCUCCAUGUCAAAAAACAACUGAAUAGCAUCCUCAACCUUCCCUCCCUUACAAAAGGCAUUAAUUGCAGUGCUAAACAAGUAAACAUCUGGAGAAACACCUUGGCGCAUAGUCUCAAACACCCAAUAACUCUUUUCAAGUUCAUUCGCCUUAACUAAAGAACUCAGCAAAAAGGUACAAGUCUUCACAGUUGGAAACACACCCUUAUUAGCCAAAAACCGGAAAACGCCAAUAGCAUUCCGGAAACCCACAUUCCUGAAUUGGGUACAAUAGACAUGAAUCAACAAAUCAACUGCCGCAACCGCAACACCCGACUCGCCCACCUCAUUCAAAUCCGCCAUUGCACUGGCUAUCUCAAUGUGCCUAUUUUUCGGGUCCCCGAACAAAACGGGCAGCUUCCGAUCGAUUAAACGGAUCAAAAGCAGCCUAGCGGGAGAGACAAAGCCCGAAACAAUCAAACUACGCAUCAAAACACAGUAUGAUCGAAGAGUGAAUCGAAACCCACAUGAAUCAGAAGCAAAAUAAAAGAAAUUCAAAGCAGUUUUGGGGUUAACAUUACGUCUUACGGAGAAGAAUACAGAAUCGAAUUGAUGAGGAGACAAAUGGGGUAUGAGUUGUUUACACUGAGUGGAAUCCAGAGAUGGGUUUGAGAGAAUUGAAGUUACCGAUUUGAGAAGAGCAUGAUCCGAAGAAGGAGGCUGAUUCUGGGACGGCAAUGGCGACGGUGGAUGUGGGGCGGCGGAGGUGACACAGGUAAGGGGGCGUGCGAUUGGGCAGAAGAUUGGUGUGGGUUUUGGGAGGAGGGUUAUUCUCAAAUCCAUUGAUUGAUGUAAACACGAAAUGGGGUCUUUUAAGGGUUUAGAGGGCAUUGAGAGGUGAACCUGGAGGCGGCGGCGAGGCUGCCAUGGCUGUUGAGAGGAGGUUAAAGGGCCACGGAGGCUGAAGAAUGAGAGUGGGAAACGGUCUUCAAAUGAAGUUUGUUGUGCAACAAGGGUUUGAGUGAGAGCCAGAGGCAGUCCCAUUCCACCACCCCACAAAAAUAAAAAAACAAAAACAAAAGAAAUAAAAAAAUUUAAAAUAAAAAAAUAAACAAAUUAAAUUAAAUUAAUAGGUUAAAAUAUAAAAAUUUAAAAAUAAAAUAAUUAAAUUAAAUUAAAUUAAAAAAAACCACUUCUUUUAGUCCAUCAUUUUUAUAUUCUAAACAAGUUGAGUAAAGAACGUUAAAUAUUUUAUCUUUAUUUUCAAUUAAUAUAAUUUAAAAGUGAAAUAAAAGUCAAUUUUUUUAUAUAUUUUUAAUUUUUAAGUUUUUUUAGUUUUAAUUUAAUUUUAAAUUUCUUAUUUUAUUAUUAAUGUCAACCAACAAAAUUUUUAUUCAAUUUUAUUAAAAAAAUUAAGAAAAUGAGGGGAUUUAUAUAAUAUAAAAUAUGAAAUUAUUAUUAAUUAGAGGACUAGAAAGAAUUUUAUUUAUCACUUAAGGAUUUGAAGAAUUUUUCUAUUGAUGUGUAGUAUAAUAUAUUUAUUUAUAAGAUACUUUCAUUAAAUUAAGAUGCAUUAAUUGUUUAAUCAUUUUAUUUAAUAUUAUCAAGUACAUUUUAUUUUAGGAAAUAAUUAUCUCAUUUAUGAAAAAGUAUAUAUAUUUUAAAUUAUUAAAUUAAGAUAAAUUAAUUAUUGAAUAAUUUUAUUAAAAAAGUCAUUCAAAGAAAUAAUUAUUUUAUUUAUGAAAAAACGCAUGUAUUUUUAAAUAGGUAAAGAAAAAAUUAAUUUAUAAAAUUUAAGGUUCUAUUUUCCAUAUAUUUUCAUAUUAAUAAGACAAAAUCCACUUUUUCCUUUUCUUUUUUUUUUUGUCACAUUUUUAAUAUUUAUAGUCAUAUUAAUUUUAUCUUACUAACCACAGUCAUAUUCUUAUUUUAUAGAUGUUGAAGUAAAAUUAGAUAAAAGGUUCUCUUAUUAGGCAUCUACAAAAAGGUAAAACUUUAUUUGACAUAAUGAUAAAAGGAAUUGUGGCUUAAAAAUAGAAUAAAUAGUAUGGCUCAUAAAAAAAAUAAAAAAUAAAAAUAAAAAUGACACCAUUUACCAAUAUAAAUGGUGAUGAUUGGAUAUUAAAAACAUAAAACAAAAAAAAAAUUAAUGUAAUUGACAAAAACAAUAACUUAGAAUGGGAAUGAUAAACGUUGACAAAAAUUUCAAAUUUCAAUAGAAUAAUUAUUGUAUUGAGAAUCUCUUGAAGACUUCGAGUUCGUUUGAUAGUUAGAAAAAUUAGGCUAAUCUAAUAUAAGAUAAUCACCUUAGAGGGGGGUGAAUAGGGUGAUAGUCUCUUUUUACAAAUUUAAACUAAGUUAAUAUAAGAGAUAAUUAUAUACAAAUAUAUAAUAAAACAAUAUAAAAAUAAUUACAUAUAAAGUAAAAGAGUAGAGAAGAGAUAAUGAAAACACGAUAUUUUUAUAAUGAUUCGACAUUACUCGACCUACAUCCACUCUCCUCUAGCUUCCAUCCCAAGCUUGAGGUCCCACUAAUUUAAGGUUUCCAAACCAAGUCUUCAAGCAAUAUAAUUGGAUUAUGGUUCCAAUCCACCAUCUUGGACUUUUGGCUCCAAGUACCCUUUUAAACCUCAAGAAAUACCUCACUCUUAAAUAACUCCUUAAGUGAUACCCCACACUUGAGAAUCCCUAAGUGAUAUCUCACACUUAGAUUCUUCCCCUCAAAGAUUUACAAAUGAAUAAAGGGUCUCACAAAAUCCUAGUACAAAACUUUAAGGCUCAAUGAUACAAGAAAAUUAGGAUUGAAUUGUGCAUUAAUGAUAUGCAAGUUUUAGAAUAAUGGUGCACUCAAAAAUAUUCUCUCAAUGCUCAAAUAUAUUCAAGAAAGGUUUAAGAAUGUUAAGCUCUUGAAACAAUGAAGAUUGAAACCUUUUUAUAAAGGAAAAAUGUCAAACUAGUCGUUGGGGGUUCGACCGGUCGAGCUGGGGGUUGACCGGUUGACUAGCCAUUAGCAUUUAAUGCUUAGUAGGUGAUAGUUGGACCUUGACCACCCCUUGACCGGACCUCAACCAGUUGAGGUGGGGGUUGAUCAAUUGAGGUUCAACCUUGACCAAUUGAACAAACGUUCAAGAAGAUAGAAAAUAUUUUUUUGCACCCCUCGACCGGUUGGGUUAAGGGUCGACUGUUCCUUAUCCGGUUCAACCGAUUAAGCUGUUUUUGGCUCAACAACCAAUUUUUUCAACUUAAAACCUUUUAAACAAGUUUGAAAAACGUUUGACACAAGGAUUUAGUUAAAAAUAUGAAAUCAUCCAAUUUUAAAGGAUUUAAAAUGAAAAAACUAUUGGAUGAUAAGUAAAGAAUGUAAUGCAUGAAAAUCUUAGUACACCAACAACCUUACAAAGAGAUUUUAUGAAGCUUGAGUCUUGAAAAAACACUUCUCUUUGAGGUCUUCUUCUUCUUCUUAAUGAUUUCUCUUUGGCUUGAUUUGUCUUUAUAAUUGCCACUUUGGAAAUUGUCUUGCCCAAUCACACUUGAAAUAUAAUCAUUAGUUUAAAACCUUAUUUUGUUAUCAUCAAAACCAAGAUUAACCAAACCUUGGUUUCACAAUAGUGAUUUUAAGAAACUUUUCUAAUAUUUAUAAUAUUUGAAAAUUUUUAUUUUUUAAGCAUUAAAAAGGUUUGGAACAUUUCCUAGAAUCAAUGUUAAACGCAUUCUUAAUUUUGAUAAUCCAUUUUAUGAAAAUAGGUCAUUUAUUAGUUUAGAUGUUGGUAAACCAAACACUACCUUGGCUAUUCAUGUUCAUUAAAUAUAGAUGCUUAUAAAGCCUAACACUUUUACUUAGGUUGUAAAGUAACCUUCUUAGAUUUAUCAUCCUAUUUACAUUUUUAAUUUCAAAUUAUAGUAAUUAUUGUCAUCUAAAAAUAUUAUUCACAAACAAAAUAAACAUUCUUCAAAAACUUUGUCUAGUUUAAGUGAAGGAAGACUUUCAAAUUAGCUAGUAUCUAGUCAUAGAUGGUAGGUGGUAAAUGAAAACCGAAAACCAAUAAAAAAUGAUACAAUUUGAUAAAACAAAAACCAAUCAAAUUGGUUUGAUUUUAACAAGUUGAUUCAGUUGAGAAUUUUAAAAAUCAACUUUAUCAAUUUGGUUUCCUUGCCUCCCACUAAUGAAAACUAAACUAAACCAACAUUCUAAAACUUCUAUCAAUUUGGUUUGAUUGCCACUUUAUCAGUUUAACAUUUGAUGAGUUUUUUAUGUUUAUUAUUAUCAAUAUCUUAUAGAUUCUAUUAAAGUGAUUCAUUCUU